This 253-nucleotide ribosomal RNA is filed under the name uncultured bacterium. Its description in RNAcentral is "partial 16S ribosomal RNA". It matches the Rfam family "Bacterial small subunit ribosomal RNA", at positions 524 to 776 of the family's 1533-position model. The record is from RNAcentral.
UACGGAGGGUGCAAGCGUUAUCCGGAAUCACUGGGUUUAAAGGGUGCGUAGGCGGUUUGAUAAGUCAGAGGUGAAAGCUAGCAGCUUAACUGUUAAAUUGCCUUUGAUACUGUCAGACUUGAAUCAGGUUGAGGUAGGCGGAAUGUGACAUGUAGCGGUGAAAUGCAUAGAUAUGUCAUAGAACACCAAUUGCGUAGGCAGCUUGCUGGGCUUGAAUUGACGCUGAGGCACGAAAGCGUGGGGAUCAAACAGG